UACACGACCGUACCGCAAACCGACACUGGUGCGCGAGAUGAGUAUUCUAAGGCGCUUGAGAGAACUCAGGAGAAGGAACUCGGCAAAUUGACACCGUAACUUCGGAAGAAGGUGUGCCUUUAGUAGGUGAACCAUUUACUUGGGGAGCCCAAUGAGGUUGCAAAAAAUCGGUGGCUGCGACUGUUUAAUAAAAACACAGCACUCUGCAAACACGAAAGUGGACGUAUAGGGUGUGACGCCUGCCCGGUGCUGGAAGAUUAAAUGAUGGGGUGCAAGCUCUUGAUUGAAGUCCCAGUAAACGGCGGCCGUAACAAUAACGGUCCUAAGGUAGCGAAAUUCCUUGUCGGGUAAGUUCCGACCUGCACGAAUGGCGUAACGAUGGCCACACUGUCUCCUCCUGAGACUCAGCGAAGUUGAAAUGUUUGUGAUGAUGCAAUCUCCCCGCGGAAAGACGGAAAGACCCCAUGAACCUUUACUGUAGCUUUGUAUUGGACUUUGAACAGAUCUGUGUAGGAUAGGUGGGAGGCUUUGAAGCGGUGCCGCUAGGUAUCGUGGAGCCAACGUUGAAAUACCACCCUGGUGUGUUUGAGGUUCUAACCUAGGCCCGUAAUCCGGGUCGGGGACAGUGCAUGGUAGGCAGUUUGACUGGGGCGGUCUCCUCCCAAAGCGUAACGGAGGAGUUCGAAGGUACGCUAGGUACGGUCGGACAUCGUGCUAAUAGUGCAAUGGCAUAAGCGUGCUUAACUGCGAGACUGACAAGUCGAGCAGAUGCGAAAGCAGGGCAUAGUGAUCCGGUGGUUCUGUAUGGAAGGGCCAUCGCUCAACGGAUAAAAGGUACUCUGGGGAUAACAGGCUGAUACCGCCCAAGAGUUCAUAUCGACGGCGGUGUUUGGCACCUCGAUGUCGGCUCACCUCAUCCUGGGGCUGUAGCCGGUCCCAAGGGUAUGGCUGUUCGCCAUUUAAAGAGGUACGUGAGCUGGGUUUAAAACGUCGUGAGACAGUUUGGUCCCUAUCUUCCGUGGGCGCUGCAGAUUUGAGGAAGCCUGCUCCUAGUACGAGAGGACCGGAGUGGACGAACCUCUGGUGUAUCGGUUGUCACGCCAGUGGCAUUGCCGAGUAGCUAAGUUCGGAAGAGAUAACCGCUGAAAGCAUCUAAGCGGGAAACUCGUUUCAAGAUGAGAUCUGCCGGGGCCUUGAGCCCCCUAAAGAGUCGUUCAAGACCAGGACGUUGAUAGGUCAGGUGUGGAAGCGCAGUAAUGCGUUAAGCUAACUGAUACUAAUUGCUCGUGCGGCUUGACCU
This 1300-nucleotide ribosomal RNA is filed under the name metagenome. RNAcentral's name for it is "bacterial LSU rRNA". It matches the Rfam family "Bacterial large subunit ribosomal RNA", at positions 1635 to 2925 of the family's 2925-position model. The record is from RNAcentral.